Molecule: ribosomal RNA, 425 nt
Filed under: uncultured bacterium
Lineage: Bacteria
Description: bacterial SSU rRNA
Rfam family: Bacterial small subunit ribosomal RNA
Source: RNAcentral
GUAGGGAAUAUUGCACAAUGGGGGAAACCCUGAUGCAGCGACGCCGCGUGAAGGAAGAAGUAUCUCGGUAUGUAAACUUCUAUCAGCAGGGAAGACAAUGACGGUACCUGACUAAGAAGCCCCGGCUAACUACGUGCCAGCAGCCGCGGUAAUACGUAGGGGGCAAGCGUUAUCCGGAUUUACUGGGUGUAAAGGGAGCGUAGACGGAUGGGCAAGUCUGAAGUGAAAGGCAGGGGCUCAACCCCUGGACUGCUUUGGAAACUGUCCAUCUAGAGUGCCGGAGAGGUAAGUGGAAUUCCUAGUGUAGCGGUGAAAUGCGUAGAUAUUAGGAGGAACACCAGUGGCGAAGGCGGCUUACUGGACGGUAACUGACGUUGAGGCUCGAAAGCGUGGGGAGCAAACAGGAUUAGAAACCCCAGUAGUCC